UACAGAGGGUGCGAGCGUUAAUCGGAAUUACUGGGCGUAAAGCGUGCGUAGACGGUUACGUAAGUCGGGUGUGAAAGCCCCGGGCUCAACCUGGGAAUUGCAUUCGAGACUGCGCAGCUAGGGUGCGGAAGAGGGAAGCGGAAUUCCCGGUGUAGCGGUGAAAUGCGUAGAUAUCGGAAGGAACAUCAGUGGCGAAAGCGGCUUCCUGGUCCAGCACCGACGUUCAGGCACGAAAGCGUGGGGAGCAAACAGG
RNAcentral lists this ribosomal RNA (253 nucleotides) under uncultured bacterium. RNAcentral describes it as "partial 16S ribosomal RNA". It matches the Rfam family "Bacterial small subunit ribosomal RNA", at positions 524 to 776 of the family's 1533-position model. The record is from RNAcentral.